Molecule: long non-coding RNA, 1034 nt
Organism: Photinus pyralis (common eastern firefly)
Lineage: Eukaryota; Metazoa; Arthropoda; Insecta; Coleoptera; Lampyridae
Exons: 5
Source: RefSeq, a predicted model, not a curated record
ACUGUUGACACGACAAAGUUCGUUCUACAAAGACGGGAUAUUGAAAUUUGUUGCAUAUUCAGUAUUCGCUGGGGAUAAUGUGUUUCGAAAGCAGGACAAUAUGUAGAAAAAUAACCUGUAAUUGUUUUUUUUAAAUGUAAGUAUAAUAAAAAAAAUAUUAAAAAUAAAGUCUUGUUUAAAUUUGAUUCACCCUAUGAUUUCGAGCAUGGUACCAACCGACAGCGGCAAUGCAUUUUUGCAUAAUAUUGAAUAUUGAAAACAUCGCUUCUGGUGAGUAAGAAUGUUUUAAAGAAUGUGGCAUUUCAAGCAGUGUUCCUCCCUCUUGGUUUGAACAGUGUAACUUGCGAUUGACACAGACCCGACGUCCGCAACGGAUGUUAAUAGCCCGGUUCUACAAUUAAGCCUAUUCACAGAAUAAGUUGAUCUUGGAAUAACUGCCGUUGCAACAUGUAUCCUAUUGGUUGAUGCAAUGGUAACCAACGCAACCAUCGACGUUUAUUCUAGGCCAUCAUUUGUAAAUUGAUUGGAAUCAAGGCACGCUCCUGAUCUGUACAAAUACGUGGAUGAAAAGCUGUUUGGACGCAGUCUUUCGAGGCAAUCAUGAAGGUGCCAUGCGCGGUAGUGCUCACAUUCACACUUCUAUCCUCAGUUCUUGGAUGGAUAGGCAAAGAAACCGUUGAAAUCGAUCCCGAAUAUUGCCAAAGCUCGGAUCCAUCUGUGGGAAAGCUGAAAGUUGGCGUAAGUAGGUUAGCGGGAAGGUGCGUCAAAGCGACUUGUACUCCAGGACUGAUCAUAUAUGAAGGAUGCAACGCUACAGGACCCCCACCUUGCCGAUUUGGUAAAGAGGAUCUCAGCAAAGAACAUCCCCACUGCUGUCCUCAAGCUAUUUGUUCGUAGAUGGAGGAACAUUAAAUUAGUGCAAGCAUUAUAUCAAAAAGAAGUAGAGUAGUAGACAAUAUAUGAUGAGCAAUUUUGAUUAAAAUACUGUUAUUAUUGUGAGCAUUACCUGAAAUAUAUUCCACGGCCUACUUGUA